GUAGUCUCGCACAGAUGCAUAUCAAUAAGCGGAGGAAAAGAAACUAACAAGGAUUCCCCUAGUAACGGCGAGUGAAGCGGGAAGAGCUCAAAUUUGAAAUCUUAAAGGGUUUCCCUUUACGAAUUGUAGUUUAAAGAAGUGUUUUCUGUUGAGGUUUUGGUAAAAGUUCUUUGGAAUAGGACAUCAUAGAGGGUGAGAAUCCCGUAUUUGACCUUUACUUUCAACUUUGUGAUACACUUUCAAAGAGUCGGAUUGUUUGGGAAUGCAGUCCAAAAUGGGUGGUAAAUUUCAUCUAAAGCUAAAUAUUGGCGAGAGACCGAUAGCGAACAAGUACCGUGAGGGAAAGAUGAAAAGAACUUUGAAAAGAGAGUUAAACAGUACGUGAAAUUGUCAAAAGGGAAGCGUUUGACACCAGUGUUGUUUUUCUGAAAAUCAAUUAAAGAACUGUUUAUGCUAAGUUGUUUAGACUUUAUCAGCUAAUCUGCUUAGUUUUGAGCUUUUCUUUAAUGCACUUUUCAGUUAACAAGUCAACAUCAAUUUCUUUUGCUGUAAAAAAGCUUGAGGAAGGUGGCUUGAGAUUCGUCUUAAGUGUUUAUAGCCUCUUGCCUAUGCAGUCGGAGAGAUUGAGGUCUGCAGCGUAGAUCCUUCGGGGCUAAAUGCAUUUGUGCUAAGUUAUAGCAUUUCAUAGACAACUUGUUGACUAUGAUUUGUCUUGUAGCUUACUCGCUUAUGUUAUUUUACCUACGCUUAGGAUGUUGACAGCAGUAUAGACUGU
This 775-nucleotide ribosomal RNA is filed under the name uncultured Neocallimastigales. Its description in RNAcentral is "partial large subunit ribosomal RNA". It matches the Rfam family "Eukaryotic large subunit ribosomal RNA", at positions 24 to 637 of the family's 3401-position model. The record is from RNAcentral. Lineage: Eukaryota; Fungi; Neocallimastigomycota; Neocallimastigomycetes; Neocallimastigales.